Molecule: ribosomal RNA, 305 nt
Filed under: uncultured bacterium
Lineage: Bacteria
Description: bacterial SSU rRNA
Rfam family: Bacterial small subunit ribosomal RNA
Source: RNAcentral
UUUUACCUACGGGGGGCAGCAGUGAGGAAUAUUGGUCAAUGGACGAGAGUCUGAACCAGCCAAGUAGCGUGAAGGAUGACUGCCCUAUGGGUUGUAAACUUCUUUUAUAAAGGAAUAAAACGAGGCACGUGUGCCUUUUUGCAUGUACUUUAUGAAUAAGGAUCGGCUAACUCCGUGCCAGCAGCCGCGUUAAUACGGAGGAUGCGAGCGUUAUCCGGAUUUAUUGGGUUUAAAGGGUGCGCAGGCGGAGGUGCAAGUCAGUGGUCAAAUUGCGGGGCUCAACCCCGUACUGCCGUUGAAACUGC